CGCCUACUUCUGGAUCUGGAAUAUAAAAAGGCGCAGGUUGAUGUUCUUGGCCGCCAGCAGCUUGUUGCACUCCACCGAGUCCACGAUGGGGAGCGGCAUGUACUCCGUCUCAUUGUUCUCAUUGGUAAAGACAAAGUGGUAGAUGACCGGCUUGAUCUUGACGUCGUCGUAGGGCCCCUCGAGGAGGAGGAAGGAGCACUCGAGCGGCGAGUUGACCUUGCUCUUGAGGAUGAGCUGGAAGGACAGGGUGCGCUUGCAGGAGAGGUUGGGGUUGCGCUCCGAGUCGUUGACGCGCGCCUUCAGCACCCAGGUUUGGUUGAGGACCGUCAGGCGCGGCGUCUCGUAGUACAGCCGCGUGAUGAAGUCGUCCGUGCGGUACGGGCGGAACUGCACCUCUGGGGGGGGGGGGGGGGGGGGGCCAGGGGGGGAGAGGGGGGUUAGUGGUGGUACUGGAAGGCCGUGAUGGGGUCACCCCGGAGAUUUGGGGGUCAUCGGGGGCACCCCGAAGUCAUGGGGGUCCUGGGGGGCUACCCCAGAGCCAUGGGGGUCCUUGGGGGCACCCCAAAGUCAUGGGGGUCCUCAGGGCUACCCCUGACCCAUGGUGGUCCCGGGGGUCACCCCAAAGUCAUAGGGGUCUUUGGGGGGCUACCCCGGAGCCAUGGUGGUCUUGGGGGCACUGCAAAGUCAUGGUGGAACCAGGGGGCACCCCAAAGUCAUGGUGGGCCUGGGGGGACCCCAGAGCCAUGGGGGUCCUGGGGGACAACCCUGGAGCCAUGGUGGUCCUGGGGGGCAUCCUAAAGUCAAGCUGGUCUUUGGGGGGCUACCCCAAAGUCAUGGGGGUCCUUGGGGGCUACCCCAAAGUCACAGUGGUCUCAGGUGGCACCCCAAAGUCACGGUAGUCCUGGGGGGCUACCCCAAAAUCAUGGGGGUCCCAG
RNAcentral lists this long non-coding RNA (935 nucleotides) under Anas platyrhynchos platyrhynchos (common mallard). RNAcentral describes it as "lncRNA (ENSAPLG00000024964.1)". Lineage: Eukaryota; Metazoa; Chordata; Aves; Anseriformes; Anatidae. The record is from RNAcentral.